AUCCCGGUUAUUCUGUCUCACAAAGUUGUAAAAAUAAAACAAAAUUUUAAAGUUCUAAAAAUAUAGUGAGAAAUGUGAAAGACUUUUGAUGAAGCAUUUUAUAAACCUGUUUAUUAUUAACAUACUGAUUUAAUAUAGACAUGGUCCGGAUUAAUCGAAGUUACUGGAGGAAAUGCAUUAGCUAGGUUUAGUAACUAGCUGCUUUAGUAGGCAAAUCUGAGCUUUCUCAAUGAAUUAACAGCCAAAUAUUUCCUCCUCUAUCAUAUCAUCAUCCAGUAUGUCAGGUGGAUCCCCUUUGUGGCUCUCAUUUAAUUCUGGAACCUGAGAUGCUUACAUCCUACAAUUGUGCCAUCUUCAAGUUCUUUGCUUCCAGCUCCACAGCCGGGGGGAGUGAACUCAGGACCUUCUGCUUGGAAGAUUUAUUCCUCUGCAGCCUCCUACAUUUCUUUUCCCUUUUAAUGAGACCAAACCAUUAAAUCGUUUCCAAUUUAAACUAAUACCUCUCAGGCUUUUUUGUAAUACUGUGUUUGCUUUCCUUCCUCUUCUUUUUUCU
RNAcentral lists this long non-coding RNA (553 nucleotides) under Heterocephalus glaber (naked mole-rat). Its description in RNAcentral is "lncRNA (ENSHGLG00100037030.1)". Lineage: Eukaryota; Metazoa; Chordata; Mammalia; Rodentia; Bathyergidae. The record is from RNAcentral.